AUUGAACGCUGGCGGCAUGCUUUACACAUGCAAGUCGAACGGUAACAGGGUGCUUGCACCGCUGACGAGUGGCGAACGGGUGAGUAAUGCGUCGGAACGUGCCGAGUAGAGGGGGAUAACGCAGCGAAAGUUGUGCUAAUACCGCAUACGUACUGAGGUAGAAAGUGAGGGACCUUCGGGCCUCACGCUAUUCGAGCGGCCGACGUCUGAUUAGCUAGUAGGUGAGGUAAAGGCUCACCUAGGCGACGAUCAGUAGCGGGCCUGAGAGGAUGAUCCGCCACACUGGGACUGAGACACGGCCCAGACUCCUACGGGAGGCAGCAGUGGGGAAUUUUGGACAAUGGGCGAAAGCCUGAUCCAGCCAUGCCGCGUGUCUGAAGAAGGCCUUCGGGUUGUAAAGGACUUUUGUCAGGGAGGAAAUCCCUAGUGCUAAUAACACUGGGGGAUGGCAGUACCUGAAGAAUAAGCACCGGCUAACUACGUGCCAGCCGCCGCCGUAA
This 500-nucleotide ribosomal RNA is filed under the name uncultured bacterium. Its description in RNAcentral is "partial 16S ribosomal RNA". It matches the Rfam family "Bacterial small subunit ribosomal RNA", at positions 30 to 523 of the family's 1533-position model. The record is from RNAcentral.